CAAUAGCGUAUAUUAAAGUUGUUGCAGUUAAAAAGCUCGUAGUUGGAUUUCUGGCCGGAGAGACCGGUCGGCGCCCUUUGGGCGUGUGCACUGUUGUCUGCUCCGGCCAUCCUUGCGGAGAGCGCAUGUGCCCUUAAUUGGGUGUGUGUGGGAUCCGCAACGUUUACUGUGAAAAAUUAGAGUGUUUAAAGCAGGCGAUCGCUGUGAAUACAUUAGCAUGGAAUAAUGAGAUAGGACUUUGGUACUAUUUUGUUGGUUUGCGCACCAAGGUAAUGAUUAAUAGGGAUAGUUGGGGGUAUUCAUAUUCAAUUGUCAGAGGUGAAAUUCUUGGAUUUAUGGAAGAUGAACUUAUGCGAAAGCAUUUACCAAGGAUGUUUUCAUUAAUCAAGAACGAAAGUUAGGGGAUCGAAGAUGAUUAGAUACCAU
This 426-nucleotide ribosomal RNA is filed under the name uncultured eukaryote. Its description in RNAcentral is "SSU rRNA". It matches the Rfam family "Eukaryotic small subunit ribosomal RNA", at positions 592 to 1018 of the family's 1831-position model. The record is from RNAcentral.